GGCUAACGCUGGCGGCGUGUCUUAGCCAUGCAAGUCGAGCGGACUUAUGGGGUAACUUAUAAGUCAGCGGCGGACGGCGGAGUAACACGUAGCUAACCUACCCUCUGGACGGGGAUAACCUACCGAAAGGUGGGCUAAUACCCGAUGUAGUCAUCCUGUAUAGGGGUGAUGAAAGGUGGGCUUCUGUUUACAAGCUCAUGCUGGAGGAGGGGGCUGCGGCCUAUCAGGUAGUUGGUAGGGUAAUAGCCUACCAAGCCGAUGACGGGUAGCCGGCCUGAGAGGGUGACCGGCCCGAGGGGCACUGAGAUACGGGUCCCACUCCUACGGGAGGCAGCAGGCUAGAAAUUUGGGCAAUGGGGGAAACCCUGACCCAGUGACGCCGCGUGCAGGAAGGAGCCCUUCGGGGUGUAAACUGCUGUCGUGUAGGGAGAAGGGUACUAAAGGUGAACAAUCUUAGUACUUGACGGUACUACAGGAGGAAGCCCAGGCUAACCUCGUGCCAGCAGCCUCGGUAAAAUAGCGUACU
This 526-nucleotide ribosomal RNA is filed under the name uncultured bacterium. RNAcentral describes it as "bacterial SSU rRNA". It matches the Rfam family "Bacterial small subunit ribosomal RNA", at positions 28 to 531 of the family's 1533-position model. The record is from RNAcentral.